GCCCUGGUGGUCUAGUGGUAUGAUUCAUCGUUAGGGUCCAUCUGAUUGGUCAACUCGAUGAGGUCCCGCGUUCAAUUCGCGGCUAGGGCC
This 90-nucleotide transfer RNA is filed under the name Talaromyces rugulosus. RNAcentral describes it as "tRNA-Pro". The record is from RNAcentral. Lineage: Eukaryota; Fungi; Ascomycota; Eurotiomycetes; Eurotiales; Trichocomaceae.